UUUCGUAGGGUGACCUGCGGAAGGAUCAUUAUUG
Molecule: ribosomal RNA, 34 nt
Filed under: Ceratorhiza hydrophila
Lineage: Eukaryota; Fungi; Basidiomycota; Agaricomycetes; Cantharellales; Ceratobasidiaceae
Description: partial 18S ribosomal RNA
Source: RNAcentral